GCACCCUCUUGAGGCUCAUACACUAAAAUUGGAUAGAUACAGAGAAGACUGUCAUGCUCUCUGCUCAAGGAUGACAUAUAAAUUCAUGAAGAGUGUAAUUAUGCA
RNAcentral lists this small nuclear RNA (105 nucleotides) under Chinchilla lanigera (long-tailed chinchilla). Lineage: Eukaryota; Metazoa; Chordata; Mammalia; Rodentia; Chinchillidae. The record is from RNAcentral.